Long non-coding RNA from Lagenorhynchus albirostris (white-beaked dolphin), 344 nucleotides. RefSeq lists it as uncharacterized. The record is from RefSeq and is a predicted model, not a curated record. NCBI's taxonomy places the organism in Eukaryota, Metazoa, Chordata, Mammalia, Artiodactyla, Delphinidae. The transcript is spliced from 3 exons.
CCCCGCCUCCCAAGGGGACCCGGCUUGAGGAGCAGUGGUGGGAACUUCGAGACUAGGACGGCGCGAAAGGUUCUGGGGAGGAUUAAAUGAGCUCAUGGGAUAUCCAGGUGACUGAGGCAGAGUCGGCUCGGGAUGAAUCUUUGCUUCGUUUUCAUUAGCUGCGGAGAAGACGAUGACAGCUUGGUGCCUGUCCAACUUUAAUAUGGGUUCUGGGGAGGAUUAAAUGAGCUCAUGGGAUAUCCAGGUGACUGAGGCAGAGUCGGCUCGGGAUGAAUCUUUGCUUCGUUUUCAUUAGCUGCGGAGAAGACGAUGACAGCUUGGUGCCUGUCCAACUUUAAUAUGGG